GUGUCAGCCGCCGCGGUAAUACGUAGGGGGCGAGCGUUAUCCGGAAUUAUUGGGCGUAAAGGGCACGCAGGCGGUCCUGCACGUGGAUGGUGACAGCUCCUGGCUUAACUGGGAGAGUGCCUUCCAAACGACAAGACUUGAGAGCGAGAGAGGGAUACGGAACUCCAGGUGGAGCAGUGAAAUGCGUAGAGAUCUGGAAGAACACCAAAGGCGAAGGCAGUAUCCUGGCUCGUCUCUGACGCUCAGGUGCGAAAGCUAGGGGAGCAAACAGGAUUAGAUACCCUGGUAGUCC
RNAcentral lists this ribosomal RNA (292 nucleotides) under uncultured bacterium. RNAcentral's name for it is "partial 16S ribosomal RNA". It matches the Rfam family "Bacterial small subunit ribosomal RNA", at positions 505 to 796 of the family's 1533-position model. The record is from RNAcentral.